RNAcentral lists this ribosomal RNA (489 nucleotides) under uncultured bacterium. RNAcentral describes it as "partial 16S ribosomal RNA". It matches the Rfam family "Bacterial small subunit ribosomal RNA", at positions 29 to 505 of the family's 1533-position model. The record is from RNAcentral.
GUGAACGCUGGCGGUAGGCCUAACACAUGCAAGUCGAACGGCAGCACAGUAAGAGCUUGCUCUUACGGGUGGCGAGUGGCGGACGGGUGAGGAAUACAUCGGAAUCUACUUUUUCGUGGGGGAUAACGUAGGGAAACUUACGCUAAUACCGCAUACGACCUACGGGUGAAAGCAGGGGAUCUUCGGACCUUGCGCGAUUGAAUGAGCCGAUGUCGGAUUAGCUAGUUGGCGGGGUAAAGGCCCACCAAGGCGACGAUCCGUAGCUGGUCUGAGAGGAUGAUCAGCCACACUGGAACUGAGACACGGUCCAGACUCCUACGGGAGGCAGCAGUGGGGAAUAUUGGACAAUGGGCGCAAGCCUGAUCCAGCCAUACCGCGUGGGUGAAGAAGGCCUCCGGGUUGUAAAGCCCUUUUGUUGGGAAAGAAAAGCAGCAGGUUAAUACCCCGCUGUUCUGACGGUACCCAAAGAAUAAGCACCGGCUAACUUCG